RNAcentral lists this transfer RNA (71 nucleotides) under Xenotoca variata (jeweled splitfin). RNAcentral's name for it is "tRNA-Trp". It matches the Rfam family "tRNA". Rfam says of the family: Transfer RNA (tRNA) molecules are approximately 80 nucleotides in length. Their secondary structure includes four short double-helical elements and three loops (D, anti-codon, and T loops). Further hydrogen bonds mediate the characteristic L-shaped molecular structure. tRNAs have two regions of fundamental functional importance: the anti-codon, which is responsible for specific mRNA codon recognition, and the 3' end, to which the tRNAs corresponding amino acid is attached (by aminoacyl-tRNA synthetases). tRNAs cope with the degeneracy of the genetic code in two manners: having more than one tRNA (with a specific anti-codon) for a particular amino acid; and 'wobble' base-pairing, i.e. permitting non-standard base-pairing at the 3rd anti-codon position. Lineage: Eukaryota; Metazoa; Chordata; Actinopteri; Cyprinodontiformes; Goodeidae. The record is from RNAcentral.
AGAGGUUUAGGAUAACAAUAGACCAAGGGCCUUCAAAGCCCUAAGUGGGGGUGAAAAUCUCCCAGCCUCUG